This 2109-nucleotide ribosomal RNA is filed under the name Escherichia coli. RNAcentral's name for it is "partial 23S ribosomal RNA". It matches the Rfam family "Bacterial large subunit ribosomal RNA", at positions 1 to 2136 of the family's 2925-position model. Lineage: Bacteria; Pseudomonadati; Pseudomonadota; Gammaproteobacteria; Enterobacterales; Enterobacteriaceae. The record is from RNAcentral.
GUUAAGCGACUAAGCGUACACGGUGGAUGCCCUGGCAGUCAGAGGCGAUGAAGGACGUGCUAAUCUGCGAUAAGCGUCGGUAAGGUGAUAUGAACCGUUAUAACCGGCGAUUUCCGAAUGGGGAAACCCAGUGUGUUUCGACACACUAUCAUUAACUGAAUCCAUAGGUUAAUGAGGCGAACCGGGGGAACUGAAACAUCUAAGUACCCCGAGGAAAAGAAAUCAACCGAGAUUCCCCCAGUAGCGGCGAGCGAACGGGGAGCAGCCCAGAGCCUGAAUCAGUGUGUGUGUUAGUGGAAGCGUCUGGAAAGGCGCGCGAUACAGGGUGACAGCCCCGUACACAAAAAUGCACAUGCUGUGAGCUCGAUGAGUAGGGCGGGACACGUGGUAUCCUGUCUGAAUAUGGGGGGACCAUCCUCCAAGGCUAAAUACUCCUGACUGACCGAUAGUGAACCAGUACCGUGAGGGAAAGGCGAAAAGAACCCCGGCGAGGGGAGUGAAAAAGAACCUGAAACCGUGUACGUACAAGCAGUGGGAGCACGCUUAGGCGUGUGACUGCGUACCUUUUGUAUAAUGGGUCAGCGACUUAUAUUCUGUAGCAAGGUUAACCGAAUAGGGGAGCCGAAGGGAAACCGAGUCUUAACUGGGCGUUAAGUUGCAGGGUAUAGACCCGAAACCCGGUGAUCUAGCCAUGGGCAGGUUGAAGGUUGGGUAACACUAACUGGAGGACCGAACCGACUAAUGUUGAAAAAUUAGCGGAUGACUUGUGGCUGGGGGUGAAAGGCCAAUCAAACCGGGAGAUAGCUGGUUCUCCCCGAAAGCUAUUUAGGUAGCGCCUCGUGAAUUCAUCUCCGGGGGUAGAGCACUGUUUCGGCAAGGGGGUCAUCCCGACUUACCAACCCGAUGCAAACUGCGAAUACCGGAGAAUGUUAUCACGGGAGACACACGGCGGGUGCUAACGUCCGUCGUGAAGAGGGAAACAACCCAGACCGCCAGCUAAGGUCCCAAAGUCAUGGUUAAGUGGGAAACGAUGUGGGAAGGCCCAGACAGCCAGGAUGUUGGCUUAGAAGCAGCCAUCAUUUAAAGAAAGCGUAAUAGCUCACUGGUCGAGUCGGCCUGCGCGGAAGAUGUAACGGGGCUAAACCAUGCACCGAAGCUGCGGCAGCGACGCUUAUGCGUUGUUGGGUAGGGGAGCGUUCUGUAAGCCUGUGAAGGUGUACUGUGAGGUAUGCUGGAGGUAUCAGAAGUGCGAAUGCUGACAUAAGUAACGAUAAAGCGGGUGAAAAGCCCGCUCGCCGGAAGACCAAGGGUUCCUGUCCAACGUUAAUCGGGGCAGGGUGAGUCGACCCCUAAGGCGAGGCCGAAAGGCGUAGUCGAUGGGAAACAGGUUAAUAUUCCUGUACUUGGUGUUACUGCGAAGGGGGGACGGAGAAGGCUAUGUUGGCCGGGCGACGGUUGUCCCGGUUUAAGCGUGUAGGCUGGUUUUCCAGGCAAAUCCGGAAAAUCAAGGCUGAGGCGUGAUGACGAGGCACUACGGUGCUGAAGCAACAAAUGCCCUGCUUCCAGGAAAAGCCUCUAAGCAUCAGGUAACAUCAAAUCGUACCCCAAACCGACACAGGUGGUCAGGUAGAGAAUACCAAGGCGCUUGAGAGAACUCGGGUGAAGGAACUAGGCAAAAUGGUGCCGUAACUUCGGGAGAAGGCACGCUGAUAUGUAGGUGAAGUCCCUUGCGGAUGGAGCUGAAAUCAGUCGAAGAUACCAGCUGGCUGCAACUGUUUAUUAAAAACACAGCACUGUGCAAACACGAAAGUGGACGUAUACGGUGUGACGCCUGCCCGGUGCCGGAAGGUUAAUUGAUGGGGUCAGCGCAAGCGAAGCUCUUGAUCGAAGCCCCGGUAAACGGCGGCCGUAACUAUAACGGUCCUAAGGUAGCGAAAUUCCUUGUCGGGUAAGUUCCGACCUGCACGAAUGGCGUAAUGAUGGCCAGGCUGUCUCCACCCGAGACUCAGUGAAAUUGAACUCGCUGUGAAGAUGCAGUGUACCCGCGGCAAGACGGAAAGACCCCGUGAACCUUUACUAUAGCUUGACACUGAACAUUGAGCCUUGAUG